UGUAUGUACAACACACAAACAAAAAAUUGCGAGAGAAAACAAAAUAAUAUCAUGCAGAAUGUGAACGAGAAAACAAAUGCCCCCGCUAAAACUUUUGCAAUUUUCCAAUUAAAAAGGAGCAAAACUCUAGAAAGAAAAAUGAAACAGUUCUCAAAUUUGAACUCUUUACGCGUUUUGUGGUUUAAUGGAUUGUGUACGAGUUUCAUAAAACUGGGGUCGGGCUAUCAGGUGAAGUCUCUUCGAUCGAUGACCAUUCAUGCGUUUGUUGAAUGGCUGAUCUGUCUCGCCAACAUACUGCAUGCCAUAUCGACACUGAAGAAGGUAUACAACAAAUACUACACCGACAAGUCCGAUCUCUCAGUAAGUCGUCAUUUUUGAUAACCUGAGCACACCAAAGCUGAUCUCAAAAACCUUACCAUCACACUCAUAGACCACAACGAGGGUUGAUCAAAGGCCGAAAUACUUGCUCAGGAAAGAUUUUGUAUAAGAAAGCUAAGGACAGUUUCCCCAGAGGGCAUUAAUGAAAAAACUAUAGAAUGAGUCCCUCAUUUUCCCUACCAUCACUCAUUUUCCUGUCAUCACUCAUUUUCCUGACAUCACUUGUUUCCAGUUACUCCGGCUUCCUUACUUGACUCUUACAGUUUUAAGGGAGUUUUUUUUAAAUUAUACUAGUUUAAAUGAUAUGAUUCUUUUCAUUUGAUAGGGAUGUACAAGUACGCUGUCACGUUCAAUUAUUUACCCUCAUCAAAAUUUAACAUUAUUAUUUUCUUAUCAUUAUCAAACUGCUACGUAUUUGUGAAGAUUAAAUACGCAACCUCUGUCUUUAUAACUGUAUGCGGUGAGGGAAGUUAAAGGGUAAUAAAAAGGCCAAAAGUAGGAAAUUCGAAAAAAAAAUAAUAAUACAAUCUUCGGCUGGAUAGCCUAAGCUGCAUGCGGGAUAAGUUUUGAUAUUAAUCCAUUUAUUAUGCCCCAUUUAUGGGCAUUAUGUUUUCUGGUUUGUGGGUCCGUCUGUUCGUUCGUUCGUCCGUCCCUUCUUCCGUUCGUCCGUCUGUCCCGCUUCAGGUUUAAGUUUUUGGUCGAUGUAGUUUUGAUGAAGUUGAAGUCCAAUCAACUUGAAACUUAUUAAACAUGUUCCUUAUGAUAUGAUCUUUCUAAUUGUAAUGCUAAAUUAGAGAUUUUACCCCAUUUUCACGGUCCACUGAACAUAGAACAUGAUAUUACUGACAAUGGGGACUGGUAAAUCUGAGAGAAAAAUUAAUUGAAUCAGAAGCAAUGUUUCUUAAUCAUUGGUUUGAAAUUGCUGGUUUCCAUCAAACAUCAAAAUUUAUGCAAAUAUUUAUUCAGCCUCACUUUAGAUUCAGAGUCAACUGGCACUGAAUCGAUCACGUGGUAUUUGUUCCCCACCUGGCCCUUGCGACGCGCAGCUAGAUUGGGUCGGGAUGCCAGGCUACAUUAAAGACCGACCUCACGUCAAUCUCAAAUGGAUGUUUUUUUAGCUCACCUGGCCCAAAGGGCCAAGUGAGCUUUUCUCAUCACUUUGCGUCCGUCGUCCGUCGUCCGUCGUCGUCCGGCGUUAGCUUUUACAAAAAUCUUCUCCUCUGAAACUACUGGGCCAAAUCAAACCAAACUUGGCCACAAUCAUCAUUGGGGUAUCUAGUUUAAAAAAUGUGUGGCGUGACCCGGUCAACCAUACAAGAUGGCCGCCACGGCUAAAAAUAGAACAUAGGGGUAAAAUGCAGUUUUUGGCUUAUAACUCAAAAACCAAAGCAUUUAGAGCAAAUCUGACAGGGGUAAAAAUAUUUAUCAGGUCAAGAUCUAUCUGCCCUGAAAUUUUCAGAUGAAUCGGUCAAUCGGUUGUUGGGUUGC
Molecule: long non-coding RNA, 1866 nt
Filed under: Mytilus galloprovincialis (Mediterranean mussel)
Lineage: Eukaryota; Metazoa; Mollusca; Bivalvia; Mytilida; Mytilidae
Source: RNAcentral